Benincasa hispida (wax gourd) is the source of this 1693-nucleotide long non-coding RNA. RefSeq lists it as uncharacterized. The record is from RefSeq and is a predicted model, not a curated record. Lineage: Eukaryota; Viridiplantae; Streptophyta; Magnoliopsida; Cucurbitales; Cucurbitaceae.
CAUAGAAUCCGGCGGAGAAUUCCCGAAAGACAGCUGGGUGUAGCUCUGGGGUUGCAGACAUGAGCAUCGAAAGUGGAAGUGGAGAAGGAAGAAGAGGAAGAGCAAGAAGGAGAGGGCAACAACUUCAUGUUGAGUUCAGCCAAAAAUGGUGACUGGUGUUUUCUUUUAUUCAAACUGAGCAGCAACAACUCUGCAGACCAACAAUAGGGAGUGAAAAACUGCCAAUACAAUAUUGGACCAGAAGAUUAUGCACUCGUCCAAACCGACCACCUCUGAUAUUGAAAGAACUUUCAGGAAAAAUCUUAAAGGAAGCAAAGUAAAAACUAAAGGGAUGGUAGAAGAAGUACCCGAGAAGACCAUACACCUGGGAUUGACCAUGCUCAGAACACUGCAAAUAACUUUGAGUUGAAGCCAGAUGGCACGAGAUAUUACUUUCAGAGAACGUCCCACAGAAGACCCUUGCAAAAUCAAGCCAAGGAUUGGUUAGAGACCUUCCUGCUUGAUAACAUCAAUACUUGGGAGAAGCUGACACAAUAUUUUCUAAAUAAAUACUUUUCAUCAGCUAAGUCAACUAGAUUAAGGUAUGAGAUCGGCUCAUUUUGUCAACAAAAUGAUGAACAACUAUUCGAGUUUCGGAAAAGGUACAAGGAUCUCUUUAAGAGGUGUCCACAUCAAAGAUAUCUUGAUUGGUUGCAAAUCCAAUUGUUUUACCAUGGAUGGACUAGUAACACGAAAUCCAUCUUGAAUGUUACUGCUGUGGGAUCUAUUUUUUAAACAAUAGCCUCAGUAGCUUAUGCUCUUUUAGAAGACAUGGUUGUUACAGGUUAUAAUUGACCCAUUGAAAGAUCAACCACCACCAGAGUAGUUGGUCUAUAUGAAGUUAAUGAGGUAAGUCCUUAAAAGCUCAAUUAGUUUCGCUUACUAAUGCUUUGAGCAAACUGUCAACAGGUGGCCAAAUCGAUAUGUAUCUUCCAUCCAUAGCAACCCAAGCAACUAUGGUAGUUGAGAGGCUUCAUCAAAAAACUUGGGGCAAUGUAAAAUUGAGACAACAUACUUUGUAUGCAGAAUUCAAAGAUAUAAAGGACACCCACAAUAGCAACAAGCAACACAUUACAAUUCAGGUUUGAGAAAUCAUGAAAAUUUCUCCUAUCCUAACAACCGAUACGGAAAAGAAACCAACUAUGUAGGACAUAAUGAUUGACUUCAUUAAGGAGUCAAAGGGUUGAGCCACAACAUUGGAGCAUCUUGUGUAGACGAUGACAAGCAAUAUGUAGAGUAUGACGACCACUGUAUAGAGCUUACAUUACUACAAAAACAGUUUUUCGUGACUUUUUUAAAUGCCAAGUGUCACUUUUCUUGACAUUUUAAAAAACUUCAAGGAAUUCAGUGUGAAGAAUGUUGAUGUUCUCGACUAGGAAAAAAUAUCAAGAACAAUGACACUUGACAUUUUUGAAAUGUUAAGAAUAUUGACGUUCUUGACAAAUAAAAAACGUCAAGAACAUUUUCACUUGAUAUGUGAAAAAUGUCAAGAUAUACUUUACUUGAUACUGAAAAUUUGUCAAGAAUAUAGAUGUUCUUGACAAGAAUAAAAUAUCGAAUACAAGACUUCUUGACAAUUUUCACUUGUCAAAUAUAUUUAUAUCUUGACACGUUUAAAUUGUCAAGUAUUUUUGUGAUUUUUUUUUUAAAAAAA